UGGUGUGAAUUGCAAAUCCCGCGAACCAUCGAGUUUUUGAACCCAAGUUUGCCCCCAAGGCAACCCGGCCAAGGGCACGCUUGCUUGGGCUUAACGCCUUGGGGUUGUUCGUCAAACCAAAUUCGGGGCACCUCGUGCUCUUGGGUGGCGGGCGGCGGAUGC
Molecule: ribosomal RNA, 162 nt
Filed under: Bulbine wiesei
Lineage: Eukaryota; Viridiplantae; Streptophyta; Magnoliopsida; Asparagales; Asphodelaceae
Description: 5.8S ribosomal RNA
Source: RNAcentral